CUCUGCCCCCUUUGUCACAUGGGUCUGACAGACCCAUGGGUCUGACGGAGCAGCCGC
This 57-nucleotide non-coding RNA is filed under the name Sus scrofa (pig). Lineage: Eukaryota; Metazoa; Chordata; Mammalia; Artiodactyla; Suidae. The record is from RNAcentral.